This 145-nucleotide unclassified non-coding RNA is filed under the name uncultured fungus. Its description in RNAcentral is "sequence contains ITS1, 5.8S rRNA gene". The record is from RNAcentral. Lineage: Eukaryota; Fungi. RNAcentral also lists the same sequence under 1 other name.
CCGAGUGAGGGCUCCGGCCCAACCUCCAACCCUUUGUGAAUUCGACCCAGUUGCCUCGGGGGCGACCCGGCCUUCGGGCGUCGGGGCCCCCGGUGGACCACUCAACCCUGCAUCGAUGCGUCCGAGUAUUAAUAUAAAUCAAUCA